UGGGGAAUAUUGGGCAAUGGGCGAAAGCCUGACCCAGCAAUGCCGCGUGAAUGAAGAAGGUCUUAGGAUUGUAAAAUUCUGUCCUAUGGGAAGAAAGAAAUGACGGUACCAUAGGAGGAAGCCCCGGCUAACUACGUGCCAGCAGCCGCGGUAAUACGUAGGGGGCGAGCGUUGUCCGGAAUUACUGGGCGUAAAGAGAGCGUAGGCGGCACUACAAGUCUCAUGUGAAAUACCCGGGCUUAACUUGGGGGUUGCAUGGGAAACUGUAGAGCUUGAGUACAGGAGAGGCAAGCGGAAUUCCUAGUGUAGCGGUGAAAUGCAUAGAUAUUAGGAGGAACACCAGUGGCGAAGGCGGCUUGCUGGACUGAAACUGACGCUGAGGCUCGAAAGCGUGGGGAGCAAACAGG
Molecule: ribosomal RNA, 407 nt
Filed under: uncultured bacterium
Lineage: Bacteria
Description: bacterial SSU rRNA
Rfam family: Bacterial small subunit ribosomal RNA
Source: RNAcentral